UGGGGAAUCUUGGACAAUGGGCGCAAGCCUGAUCCAGCCAUGUCGCGUGAGUGAAGAAGGCCUUCGGGUUGUAAAGCUCUUUUACCAGGGACGAUAAUGACGGUACCUGGAGAAUAAGCCCCGGCAAACUUCGUGCCAGCAGCCGCGGUAAUACGAAGGGGGCUAGCGUUGUUCGGAAUUACUGGGCGUAAAGCGCACGUAGGCGGAUUGUUAAGUCAGAGGUGAAAUCCCGGAGCUCAACCUCGGAACUGCCUUUGAUACUGGCAAUCUAGAGUCCGGAAGAGGUUAGUGGAAUUCCCAGUGUAGAGGUGAAAUUCGUAGAUAUUGGGAAGAACACCAGUGGCGAAGGCGGCUAACUGGUCCGGUACUGACGCUGAGGUGCGAAAGCGUGGGGAGCAAACAGGAUUAGAUACCCCAGUAGUCCCUGAGCGGGCUGGCAAGGCGCAU
This 447-nucleotide ribosomal RNA is filed under the name uncultured bacterium. RNAcentral's name for it is "bacterial SSU rRNA". It matches the Rfam family "Bacterial small subunit ribosomal RNA", at positions 355 to 825 of the family's 1533-position model. The record is from RNAcentral.